AUAUCCACAUAGAUAGGACCUGAAAUGUCUUCUCCUCAUAAAUCUAUGCUCCAAAAAUUAGAUGUCUAUCUGAUUUGAAAGUACUUCAGAACUCCUUCUAAAGUUGGAGCAGCAGCCUGUCGAAGAUGUGCUGCAGCCUUCCUGUUCCAGGCAUCACCACGCCUUGGACCUUUGCCAGAUGGAUGUCCAACUCCUUGGAUGUGAAGAGGGG
RNAcentral lists this long non-coding RNA (211 nucleotides) under Elaeis guineensis (African oil palm). RNAcentral's name for it is "long non-coding RNA (EGUI_LNC081243)". The record is from RNAcentral. Lineage: Eukaryota; Viridiplantae; Streptophyta; Magnoliopsida; Arecales; Arecaceae.